Molecule: non-coding RNA, 88 nt
Organism: Pangasianodon gigas (Mekong giant catfish)
Lineage: Eukaryota; Metazoa; Chordata; Actinopteri; Siluriformes; Pangasiidae
Source: the annotation of a GenBank genome assembly
GGUUGUAUAUAUAUAUAUAUAUAUAUAUAUAUAUAUAUAUAUAUAUAUAUAUAUAUAUGCUUUGGUGAUGGUGCUGUCUAACACAUUG